CACGGGGGGAACGCGAAGAACCUUACCAGGUCUUGACAUCCCAGUGACCGCUCUAGAGAUAGAGUUUUUCUUCGGAACACUGGUGACAGGUGGUGCAUGGUUGUCGUCAGCUCGUGUCGUGAGAUGUUGGGUUAAGUCCCGCAACGAGCGCAACCCUUAUUGUUAGUUGCCAUCAUUCAGUUGGGCACUCUAGCGAGACUGCCGGUAAUAAACCGGAGGAAGGUGGGGAUGACGUCAAAUCAUCAUGCCCCUUAUGACCUGGGCUACACACGUGCUACAAUGGUUGGUACAACGAGUCGCAAGUCGGUGACGGCAAGCAAAUCUCUUAAAGCCAAUCUCAGUUCGGAUUGUAGGCUGCAACUCGCCUACAUGAAGUCGGAAUCGCUAGUAAUCGCGGAUCAGCACGCCGCGGUGAAUACGUUCCCGGGUCUUGUACACACCG
RNAcentral lists this ribosomal RNA (442 nucleotides) under uncultured Streptococcus sp. Its description in RNAcentral is "bacterial SSU rRNA". It matches the Rfam family "Bacterial small subunit ribosomal RNA", at positions 950 to 1392 of the family's 1533-position model. Lineage: Bacteria; Bacillati; Bacillota; Bacilli; Lactobacillales; Streptococcaceae. The record is from RNAcentral.